This 527-nucleotide ribosomal RNA is filed under the name uncultured bacterium. Its description in RNAcentral is "bacterial SSU rRNA". It matches the Rfam family "Bacterial small subunit ribosomal RNA", at positions 335 to 872 of the family's 1533-position model. The record is from RNAcentral.
CACCUACGGGUGGCAGCAGUGGGGAAUAUUGCACAAUGGGCGGAAGCCUGAUGCAGCGACGCCGCGUGAGGGAUGACGGCCUUCGGGUUGUAAACCUCUUUCAGUACCGACGAAGCGUGAGUGACGGUAGGUACAGAAGAAGCACCGGCCAACUACGUGCCAGCAGCCGCGGUAAUACGUAGGGUGCGAGCGUUGUCCGGACUUACUGGGCGUAAAGAGCUCGUAGGCGGUUUGUCGCGUCGUCUGUGAAAUCCCACGACUCAAUCGUGGGCGUGCAGGCGAUACGGGCAUAACUUGAGUACUGUAGGGGAGACUGGAAUUCCUGGUGUAGCGGUGGAAUGCGCAGAUAUCAGGAGGAACACCGGUGGCGAAGGCGGGUCUCUGGGCAGUAACUGACGCUGAGGAGCGAAAGCGUGGGUAGCGAACAGGAUUAGAUACCCUGGUAGUCCACGCCGUAAACGGUGGGUACUAGGUGUGGGUUUCCUUCCACGGGAUCCGUGCCGUAGCUAACGCAUUAAGUACCCCGC